Small nucleolar RNA from Sciurus vulgaris (Eurasian red squirrel), 100 nucleotides. NCBI's taxonomy places the organism in Eukaryota, Metazoa, Chordata, Mammalia, Rodentia, Sciuridae. The record is from Ensembl.
UUCCUUUUGUGGUUCACAAGCAUGAGGCUGGGUUUCCACACCAGGUGAGAUGUGCCUGCCCCAAUCCUUGUUCCAACAUGGGCACUUUACCCACCCAAUG